Molecule: ribosomal RNA, 635 nt
Filed under: uncultured bacterium
Lineage: Bacteria
Description: bacterial SSU rRNA
Rfam family: Bacterial small subunit ribosomal RNA (bases 1-538)
Source: RNAcentral
CCUACGGGAGGCAGCAGUAAGGAAUAUUGGUCAAUGGGCGCAAGCCUGAACCAGCCAUGCCGCGUGCAGGAUGACGGCCCUCUGGGUUGUAAACUGCUUUUAUACGGGAAGAACAGCAUCUACGUGUAGGUGUUUGACGGUACUGUAAGAAUAAGGACCGGCUAACUUCGUGCCAGCAGCCGCGGUAAUACGAAGGGUCCAAGCGUUAUCCGGAUUUAUUGGGUUUAAAGGGUGCGUAGGCGGCUUUUAAGUCAGUGGUGAAAGCCUGAUGCUCAACAUCAGAACUGCCAUUGAUACUGAAGAGCUUGAGUACAGUUGAGGUUGGCGGAAUGUGUCAUGUAGCGGUGAAAUGCUUAGAUAUGACACAGAACACCGAUUGCGAAGGCAGCUAGCUAAGCUGUUACUGACGCUGAUGCACGAAAGCGUGGGGAGCAAACAGGAUUAGAUACCCUGGUAGUCCACGCCCUAAACGUUGAUAACUCGUUGUUAGCGAUAUACUGUUAGUCGACCGAACGACGAAGACAUUAAGUUAAUUACCUACCGUACGGAAGGUACGGUACGCGAGAGUAGUAACGUACGAAAGAAGUAGUAGGACGUAGAGACGAGCGACGGACGGACGACGAGGGAGGGAGGAG